UACGUAGGGGGCAAGCGUUAUCCGGAAUUACUGGGUGUAAAGGGUGCGCAGGUGGCAUGGUAAGUCAGAAGUGAAAACCCGGGGCUCAACCCCGCGGAGUGCUUUUGGAACUGCCGUGCUGGAGUGCAGGAGGGGCAGGCGGAAUUCCUGGUGUAGCGGUGAAAUGCGUAGAUAUCAGGAGGAACACCGGUGGCGAAGGCGGCCUGCUGGACUGUAACUGACACUGAGGCUCGAAAGCGUGGGGAGCA
RNAcentral lists this ribosomal RNA (248 nucleotides) under uncultured Lachnospiraceae bacterium. Its description in RNAcentral is "partial 16S ribosomal RNA". It matches the Rfam family "Bacterial small subunit ribosomal RNA", at positions 524 to 770 of the family's 1533-position model. The record is from RNAcentral. Lineage: Bacteria; Bacillati; Bacillota; Clostridia; Lachnospirales; Lachnospiraceae.